GUUGUUAGUACAGGAGCCGGCAUUCCAUGAGGGGAGAUAGAGAAGCGUCAAAGGAGAAGAAAACAAAACUAGGAAGGAGAGUUGAGAGACAGACUGAAAUGAAGCAUGCGAAUGUUUGUCAUUUUUGAGAAGAAGACAUCCAAAAAAUGAGGCCCCAGAAGGCAAAGAUUUUUUGCCUAGUGGCUUGAAGUGCAUGCCUUUUAUCUAACCCGACAUGUGGUGCUGGAGACUUGUUGAAACUAAUAAGUCAGCCAUCUGAAGUUUCCAGGACCAUCGCAAGAAUGAGAAGAAAAAAACCUAGGAGUGCUUCAGUGGAAAAGGUUUUGGAGAAAAGAGAGACAAAUUGUCGCAAGGAUGUUAUUGGUGACCUUAGGGAUCACGGCAAGGGCAAGAGCAAGAGCAACAAGAUCUCUCCCUCCUUAAAAGAAAACUUAGAAUUACCAAAAUGUAAAGAAGAGGUAGAUCCGCAAUGGCAGAGUGUUGGUCAGAAGAGUACAGUUCAUGAACUAGAUGAAAGAAAUGUGCCUCAUAAGGAGGAAAAACCAACAUCUGAAGGCAAGGAUAAGUCAAAGGAGACUAGGUAAUGGAAAGCCUGCAGCUUUUUUAACCAAGGAAAGUUUGAGGGUUGAAAUUGGUGCAGUUCUUGAUGAUAAAAAAGAAUAUUACUCAUGGUGUUGCUCCUCGUGGUAGUAAAACGCAGAAGCAUAAAUCACAUAAUCAUAACAAGGGCAACGAUAAUAACAUAGAUCCGUUAAAGGGCAAAAAUUUGGAACAAUCAGAUAGCAAUAUGGAUCCAAGAGAGAGGCCUUGGGGGGAUAUUCCAAAGGAUGCUUACCUCGAUGAUGUUGAAGCAGAACAAAAAAUGGUCCUGGAUAAACCAUUGAAAACAUUAAAUGGUAAAAAGGUCUAUAAUCAGUUGGUUUCAGAGGCAACUUUAAAAGGUGCUCCAAAUUCAUUGCAUCCUGUGAUGGCAAAUGGACAUGCUUAACAGUUGAUACCGGCAGCAGUCACUCCUGUAGUUAUCAAAGAAUAUUGGGUGUGCUGUGACAGUUUUCAGAAAUGGAGGCUUCUACCUUUUGGUAGUCAGCCAAAGCAACUCCCCGAGAAAUGGUUGUGUAGAAUGCUAAUCUGGCUGCCUGGAAUGAACCGGUGCGACAUCGGUGAGGAGGAGACAACAAAAGCACUAAAUGCAUUGUACCAACUACCGGUUUCUGACCAUCAAAGUAGCCCGCAGAAUCAGGCUAAUGGAAGCGCAUCUAAAGUAACUGCAGUUGGCGUCCAACAUCCGGACCAGAAUCUCCAUAAUAACAAUUCCCAUUCUAUAUCUAACCGAGAAAAAAAUGAGACA
Molecule: long non-coding RNA, 1348 nt
Organism: Ziziphus jujuba (common jujube)
Lineage: Eukaryota; Viridiplantae; Streptophyta; Magnoliopsida; Rosales; Rhamnaceae
Exons: 2
Source: RefSeq, a predicted model, not a curated record